Molecule: ribosomal RNA, 513 nt
Filed under: uncultured bacterium
Lineage: Bacteria
Description: partial 16S ribosomal RNA
Rfam family: Bacterial small subunit ribosomal RNA
Source: RNAcentral
GACGAACGCUGGCGGCGUGCCUAAUACAUGCAAGUUGAGCGCUGAAGGUUGGUACUUGUACCAACUGGAUGAGCAGCGAACGGGUGAGUAACGCGUGGGGAAUCUGCCUUUGAGCGGGGGACAACAUUUGGAAACGAAUGCUAAUACCGCAUAAAAACUUUAAACACAAGUUUUAAGUUUGAAAGAUGCAAUUGCAUCACUCAAAGAUGAUCCCGGGUUGUAUUAGCUAGUUGGUGAGGUAAAGGCUCACCAAGGCGAUGAUACAUAGCCGACCUGAGAGGGUGAUCGGCCACAUUGGGACUGAGACACGGCCCAAACUCCUACGGGAGGCAGCAGUAGGGAAUCUUCGGCAAUGGACGAAAGUCUGACCGAGCAACGCCGCGUGAGUGAAGAAGGUUUUCGGAUCGUAAAACUCUGUUGGUAGAGAAGAACGUUGGUGAGAGUGGAAAGCUCAUCAAGUGACGGUAACUACCCAGAAAGGGACGGCUAACUACGUGCCAGCAGCCGCAGUAA